AACUGGGUCUCUCAGUUCUUUGGGAGCACCCUGGGAAACAGUGUGGCUAUGACUUGGAGCUGCUCACCAGUUCCAGUCAUUCUGUGGUUGAGAGCUGCUCCCUAUGGAUGUUAAUUCUUCUCCAUUUUAGAUUUUCCACAGGUGUGGGCCCCAUUAGCUCUGGCCACCUGAGAAAGCCCUCAGGCAAAGAGUCGCAGGUGAAAGCCAGCAGUUAGAGGUUCACAGAAAUGAGUACAGAAGCAUCUUCAGUUGGAGAGCCACUGCCUCUUGCUGUGAAAUAUUUGGGAAUCUUCAGAAACCAUGAAGAAUAACCUGCUAAAGGCCACCAAGUUCUAUUGAACAUCACGAAUCCUAUGCUCAAGUGAGAUCAGCUCAAGUGAGACCAGCUCAAGUGAGACCAGAUAUCUGAAGACCUUUUCAUUUUCGCCACCCUCAAAUGAAGGCAUGCAAGGUAGGAGAUAAAAACUAUCAUGUGGAAGAUGCCCUCCCUGUGCCAAGAGAAAAGAAACAUUCUUCCAUGAAGACUCAUAGCCGAGAUAAUUCCGUAUAAACAAACCUUGUUAAAAGAAUUAUCUCCCUUUGGCCUCCCCACAAAAUUUAGAUACUUUUCCACAAUUGCAUCUUUACAAAAUCAU
Molecule: long non-coding RNA, 635 nt
Filed under: Pan troglodytes (chimpanzee)
Lineage: Eukaryota; Metazoa; Chordata; Mammalia; Primates; Hominidae
Description: lincRNA
Source: RNAcentral